AGAGUUUGAUCCUGGCUCAGGAUGAACGCUGGCGGCGUGCCUAACACAUGCAAGUCGAACGAAGCGCUUGUAUUUGAUUCUUCGGAUGAAGAUACUUGUGACUGAGUGGCGGACGGGUGAGUAACGCGUGGGUAACCUGCCUCAUACAGGGGGAUAACAGUUAGAAAUGGCUGCUAAUACCGCAUAAGCACACAGCAUCGCAUGAUGCGGUGUGAAAAAACUCCGGUGGUAUGAGAUGGACCCGCGUCUGAUUAGCUAGUUGGUGGGGUAACGGCCUACCAAGGCGACGAUCAGUAGCCGACCUGAGAGGGUGACCGGCCACAUUGGGACUGAGACACGGCCCAAACUCCUACGGGAGGCAGCAGUGGGGAAUAUUGCACAAUGGGGGAAACCCUGAUGCAGCGACGCCGCGUGAGCGAAGAAGUAUUUCGGUAUGUAAAGCUCUAUCAGCAGGGAAGAAAAUGACGGUACCUGACUAAGAAGCCCCGGCUAACUACGUGCCAGCAGCCGCGGUAAUACGUAGGGGGCAAGCGUUAUCCGGAUUUACUGGGUGUAAAGGGAGCGUAGACGGAUGUGCAAGUCUGAAGUGAAAGCCCGGGGCUCAACCCCGGGACUGCUUUGGAAACUGUGUAUCUAGAGUGCCGGAGAGGUAAGCGGAAUUCCCAGUGUAGCGGUGAAAUGCGUAGAUAUUGGGAGGAACACCAGUGGCGAAGGCGGCUUACUGGACGGUAACUGACGUUGAGGCUCGAAAGCGUGGGGAGCAAACAGGAUUAGAUACCCUGGUAGUCCACGCCGUAAAC
Molecule: ribosomal RNA, 800 nt
Filed under: uncultured bacterium
Lineage: Bacteria
Description: bacterial SSU rRNA
Rfam family: Bacterial small subunit ribosomal RNA
Source: RNAcentral